Non-coding RNA from Ciona savignyi (Pacific transparent sea squirt), 71 nucleotides. Lineage: Eukaryota; Metazoa; Chordata; Ascidiacea; Phlebobranchia; Cionidae. The record is from Rfam.
GCAUUGGUGGUUCAGUGGUAGAAUCCUCGCCUGCCACGCGGGGGGCCCGGGUUCGAUUCUCGGCCAAUGCA